RNAcentral lists this ribosomal RNA (368 nucleotides) under uncultured organism. RNAcentral's name for it is "bacterial SSU rRNA". It matches the Rfam family "Bacterial small subunit ribosomal RNA", at positions 526 to 896 of the family's 1533-position model. The record is from RNAcentral.
CGAAGGAUGCAAGCGUUAUCCGGAUUCAUUGGGUUUAAAGGGAGCGUAGGUGGCCUUAUAAGUCAGUGGUGAAAUCUCUCGGCUUAACCGAGAAAUUGCCAUUGAUACUGUAGGGCUUGAGUACAGAUGCCGUUGGCGGAAUAUGACAUGUAGUGGUGAAAUACAUAGAGAUGUCAUAGAACACCGAUUGCGAAGGCAGCUGACGAAACUGUAACUGACACUGAGGCUCGAAAGUGUGGGGAUCAAACAGGAUUAGAUACCCUGGUAGUCCACACUGUAAACGAUGAUUACUCGCUGCUGGAGGGCAACUUUCAGUGGCUAAGCAAAAGCGAUAAGUAAUCCACCUGGGGAGUACGCCGGCAACGGUG